CUCGUAGGCGGUUUGUCGCGUCUGCCGUGAAAUCCUGGGGCUUAACUCUGGGCGUGCGGUGGGUACGGGCAGACUAGAGUGCGGUAGGGGAGACUGGAAUUCCUGGUGUAGCGGUGGAAUGCGCAGAUAUCAGGAGGAACACCGGUGGCGAAGGCGGGUCUCUGGGCCGUUACUGACGCUGAGGAGCGAAAGCAUGGGGAGCGAACA
RNAcentral lists this ribosomal RNA (207 nucleotides) under uncultured bacterium. RNAcentral describes it as "partial 16S ribosomal RNA". It matches the Rfam family "Bacterial small subunit ribosomal RNA", at positions 568 to 774 of the family's 1533-position model. The record is from RNAcentral. RNAcentral also lists the same sequence under 1 other name.